RNAcentral lists this unclassified non-coding RNA (244 nucleotides) under plant metagenome. RNAcentral describes it as "partial contains small subunit ribosomal RNA, internal transcribed spacer 1, and 5.8S ribosomal RNA". The record is from RNAcentral.
UUUCCGUUGGUGAACCAGCGGAGGGAUCAUUACCGAGUUUACAACUCCCAAACCCAAUGUGAACCAUACCAAACUGUUGCCUCGGCGGGGUCACGCCCCGGGUGCGUCGCAGCCCCGGAACCAGGCGCCCGCCGGAGGGACCAACCAAACUCUUUCUGUAGUCCCCUCGCGGACGUUAUUUUUACAGCUCUGAGCAAAAAUUCAAAAUGAAUCAAAACUUUCAACAACGGAUCUCUUGGUUCAG